RNAcentral lists this ribosomal RNA (466 nucleotides) under uncultured bacterium. Its description in RNAcentral is "partial 16S ribosomal RNA". It matches the Rfam family "Bacterial small subunit ribosomal RNA", at positions 28 to 507 of the family's 1533-position model. The record is from RNAcentral.
GAUGAACGCUGGCGGCGUGCUUAACACAUGCAAGUCGAACGGAAAGGCCCAAGCUUGCUUGGGUGCUCGAGUGGCGAACGGGUGAGUAACACGUGGGUGAUCUGCCCUGCACUUUGGGAUAAGCCUGGGAAACUGGGUCUAAUACCGGAUAGGACCAUCGUUUAGUGUCGGUGGUGGAAAGUUUUUCGGUGUGGGACGAGCUCGCGGCCUAUCAGCUUGUUGGUGGGGUAAUGGCCUACCAAGGCGUCGACGGGUAGCCGGCCUGAGAGGGUGUACGGCCACAUUGGGACUGAGAUACGGCCCAGACUCCUACGGGAGGCAGCAGUGGGGAAUAUUGCACAAUGGGCGCAAGCCUGAUGCAGCGACGCCGCGUGGGGGAUGACGGCCUUCGGGUUGGAAACUCCUUUCGCCAAGGACGAAGCGUUUUGUGACGGUACUUGGAGAAGAAGCACCGGCUAACUACGUG